GCAGCCAACAUACAGGGAGCUUGCUCCCGACAUGCUGCGGGGAAAGUCCCCGUGCCUUUGGGCAGAGAG
RNAcentral lists this non-coding RNA (69 nucleotides) under uncultured Symbiodinium. Lineage: Eukaryota; Dinophyceae; Suessiales; Symbiodiniaceae. The record is from RNAcentral.